RNAcentral lists this ribosomal RNA (245 nucleotides) under uncultured bacterium. RNAcentral describes it as "partial 16S ribosomal RNA". It matches the Rfam family "Bacterial small subunit ribosomal RNA", at positions 524 to 768 of the family's 1533-position model. The record is from RNAcentral.
UACGUAGGUGGCAAGCGUUGUCCGGAGUUACUGGGCGUAAAGGGCGUGUAGGCGGCUUUUUAAGUCAGACGUGAAAUCUUUAGGCUUAACCUAGAAACUGCGUUUGAAACUGGAAGGCUUGAGGACCGGAGAGGGUAGUGGAAUUCCCAGUGUAGCGGUGAAAUGCGUAGAUAUUGGGAGGAACACCAGUGGCGAAGGCGACUGCCUGGACGGCACCUGACGCUGAGGCGCGAAAGCUAGGGGAG